This 1383-nucleotide long non-coding RNA is filed under the name Numida meleagris (helmeted guineafowl). Its description in RNAcentral is "lncRNA (ENSNMEG00000000958.1)". Lineage: Eukaryota; Metazoa; Chordata; Aves; Galliformes; Numididae. The record is from RNAcentral.
CGCUGGAGGUGCCCGAGGAGCCCAGCCUGCCCCCGGAGGUACCUGUGGGGCGCCGGGGGGCAUCUAUGGGGCGCUGGGGGGUUCUAUGGGGUGCUGUGGGGUUCUAUGGGAUGCUGUGGGGCGCUAUGAGGUAUCUAUGGGGCGCUGUGGGGUUCUGUGGGGCACUGUGGGGUGCUAUGGGGUAUCUAUGGGGCACUAUGGGGCAUCUGUGGGGCAUCUAUGGGGCACUGUGGGGUACCUGUAGGGCAGUGUGGGGUUCUAUGGGGUGUCUAUGGGGCGCUGUGGGGUAUCUAUGGGGCACUGUGGGGUUCUAUGGGGCGUCUAUGGGGCACUAUGGGGCAUCUAUGGGGCGCUAUGGGAUAUCUGUGGGGCGCUGUGGGGUAUCUAUGGGGCACUGUGGGGUUCUGUGGGGUACUAUGGGGCGCUGUGGGGCAUCUAUGGGGCAAUGUGGGGUUCUAUGGGGCAUAGUGUGGCUCUAUGGGGCACUAUGGGGUAUCUGUGGGGCACUGUGGGGCAUCUAUGGGGCACUAUGGGGUAUCUAUGGGGCGCUGUGGGGGUCUGUGGGGCGCAGUGGGGCUCUAUGGGGCACUAUGGGUUAUCUGUGGGGCGCAGUGGGGCUCUGUGGGUUAUCUGUGGGUCUCUAUGGGGCAUCUAUGGGGCACUGUGGGGUUCUAUGGGGCGCUUUGGGGUAACUAUGGGGCGCUGUGGGGUUCUAUGGGGCGCUGUGGGGCAUCUGUGGGGCACUAUGGGGUAUCUAUGGGGCGCUGUGGGGCUCUAUGGGAUAUCUAUGGGGCACUAUGGGGUAUCUAUGGGGCGCUAUGGGGUAUCUAUGGGGCACUGUGGGGUUCUGUGGGGCACUAUGGGGCUCUAUGGGGUGUCUAUGGGGCGCUAUGGGGUCUCUAUGGGGCACUAUGGGUCACUGUGGGGCACUAUGGGGUAUCUAUGGGGCGCUAUGGGGCAUCUAUGGGGCGCUAUGGGGUAUCUAUGGGGCGCUAUGGGGUUAUCUAUGGGGCCGCCCCACAGCUCCCCCCUCCGCGGCGGCGCCGCGCCCCACGGCCGCCCCACUGGGACCCCCAAGUGCAGAUCCCGCAGCAGGAAUUCCGCCAGCAGCUGCUCGACCCCGGCGCCCGCUGCCGGCCCCUGGUGAUCCCGGAGCCGCCCCACAAGCGUCGCCGGAGCCCGGAGGAGCUCUUCCAGACCCCGAGCGCGGGCUGGCUGACCCCCGAGCUGUGGGAUCUGUGGGUCCGGGGCGCCCGCCCCACGGCGCCGGAGCUGCCCAGCGAGUUGGAGGAGCCCAGGGAGCUGCUGGAGCCGAGCGUGGGGCUGCCGCCGUCCUCGGGUACGCUGUGGGGCGCUAUGGGGCGGCUGGGGGGGCGCUGGGGG